This 401-nucleotide ribosomal RNA is filed under the name Penicillium oxalicum. Its description in RNAcentral is "partial small subunit ribosomal RNA". It matches the Rfam family "Eukaryotic small subunit ribosomal RNA", at positions 30 to 432 of the family's 1831-position model. The record is from RNAcentral. Lineage: Eukaryota; Fungi; Ascomycota; Eurotiomycetes; Eurotiales; Aspergillaceae.
GCUUGUCUCAAAGAUUAAGCCAUGCAUGUCUAAGUAUAAGCACCCUUAUACUGCGAAACUGCGUACAGCUCAUUAUAUCAGCAAUUAUUUAUUUGAAGGUCACCUAUUACAUGGAUAACCGUGGUAAUUCUAGAGCUAAUACAUGCUAAAAACCCCGACUUCAGGAAGGGGUGUAUUUAUUAGAUAAAAAACCAACGCCCUUCGGGGCUCCUUGGUGAAUCAUAAUAACUUAACGAAUCGCAUGGCCUUGCGCCGGCGAUGGUUCAUUCAAAUUUCUGCCCUAUCAACUUUCGAUGGUAGGAUAGUGGCCUACCAUGGUGGCAACGGGUAACGGGGAAUUAGGGUUCGAUUCCGGAGAGGGAGCCUGAGAAACGGCUACCACAUCCAAGGAAGGCAGCAGG